AGCUACUCCUGAUUGAAGUGGUAUCCUUUUUUGAGGUACGAAAAAAAGAUUUAACGGAAAGCAGGAAGAAAC
RNAcentral lists this small RNA (72 nucleotides) under Seonamhaeicola sp. S2-3. RNAcentral describes it as "Flavo-1 RNA". It matches the Rfam family "Flavo-1 RNA". Lineage: Bacteria; Pseudomonadati; Bacteroidota; Flavobacteriia; Flavobacteriales; Flavobacteriaceae. The record is from Rfam by way of RNAcentral.